CGAAAAAUAGAGCGACAAGUGUAACGAUCGAGUGAAUGAUGGUAUAGUGAGUUAAUAUCCGUCGUUGGCACUGGAAUCUACAUAAAUAAUUGGACCCAAAAUUAACCAAAACAUUUGGUCCGCGUGUAUACAUGAGAGCCCUCAUCUAUCAAUGCUAAGCCCACAAGCAAAGAUAACUCACCCUCUUCAAUUUACUACGUGUCAGUAUGCUAAAGGAGCAUUCAUAUUCUCCCCCACCAGGUGGAUGAAUAUGAGCACUGCUUCAUCAAGAGCGAGCCCCCCAUGCAUGGCCCUUCUCUCUUCUUCAUCUUCAAACCUUUAUAUCAUAUUUUUGUCCGUGUGUAUUCCAAUUUCCAGAUUCCAUUUCCAUUCUCUCACUUGAACAAGAUAAGAUCAGGGUCUUUUUCUCUUGUCUAUUGUGAGAUAUAUUUACUAACUACUACGGAGUCCUUGCUAACACAAGAAAUUUCCAAGACAUUAAUUACUACUCAUUUUUGUCUCAUCUAAUUGUAUACGCCGGAGAGUAACAAAAAAUUAAGAAAAAAUAUAAUUUGAUUGAGAAAAAUAACAAAAAUGGGUGAAACUAACUAAUAUUUUAAUGUAUAAAAAUGAGUGGUGUGGGUAUAUUUUUAGUGAAAAAAUAAAUACGGUUGAAAAGCAGUUUCCCCAUCAUCAUAAAAUAUGUUCAGGAAUGUCUUGCGUGUCUUUUUUUCUAGAGGGUGAUAAUCGUAAUUCAUUGUCUUUUUUUACAAAAACUCGUAAUCCAUUGUCUUAAUUAUUUUACUAGAUAAAUUCUAAAUUUAAUUUCUACCCAAAUGGUAUCAAGUUAAACUUUUUCCUUUUUCUAUUCAAAAUUAAAGGCGGGAUGUCGAAUUUCAUUAACAAACAGACACCUGAUUUUUCAUUAACAUAUUAAUUUUAUUAUGAGCUGAGAGGAAAGCUCAACCCCAGCUCUUGUGAGAAAGCGGGAGGAAAUAAUUGAUGAAUUAAACCCAUUAAUUAUUACUAUUAACAACAUAAUAUAUAUGUGAAUUAUUUCUCUCUACCCACCAAUAUGUUUAGCGACUGCAUAAUAGAAGAAUAUAAAUCAUUUAGAAACAGGCAAUCAGAUGCAUGGGCAACUCACCUAACUUUAUACCAUAUAAUAUCAAUGUUUGCUUAUCCAGUUUUUUUUUGUAAUCAAGUUAAAGCAACAUGCUGAAUGAGCUUGGAUCUGCAGUGCACAUGGGAAUUGCGUCCGUUGUUUUGUAUACCAUGGGGAGAGAGAUGAUAUAUAAUCUUGGCCAGCUCCUUCCCCGCCUUGAAGCAAGGGAUUUGCUAGCACCAACUGCUUGCUCAUGUAUAUAUAUGAAAAUCAGGAAUCGAAUCCAGUGGCGUCACGAAAAUAUUGUGUAUAAAUAGAUAGAUAUUGUCUCACAUAAGUGUGUGGAUUUCUUAAAAUAGCAGCAAUCUUACAAGAGGGGGGCUCUUAGGUUCAUUGAAGGGUCGUUUGGUUCCGGAGGUGACAUGGUGUUUGAACGAGGAUCCCAGUUAAGUGACAUGUAUUGAGGAAUCAUAUCCAAUAACGUGUUUUGUUGGCGGCUGGAAUUAAUAUUAUAAUAUUAUUAUUAUAUCAAACAUUAAUAUUUCAGUACUUUAAAUAGAGACUAAAGAUAAUAAAUGCAUCUCAUAACCACCUUUUCUUUUGAUUAUCAAUAAUACUUACCUUAAAAUUUUAAAAUAUAAAUUUAAAAUUUUAUUUUUUCCGAUCAAAAAAUUUGAAAUGGGCAAACCUUAUACUUCAUUGCACAUCCAGAGGACCGCCGGAUCUCAUAAAAUGAAGACUCGCGUUCUUCGGCUUGCAUUCACAUGCGUUCUUCGGCCUGAUGUUCACGUGAAUGUUCCUUGCCCGCCGCAUUACAAGGGUGAGAACCUCAGGUAACAACCAAGAUUACUAAUAAUGUCAAAUUAUCAAAAAAGUAUUAAUAUUUAUUUCAUUUCUCUCUAGUAAUAUAAAUAAAUGUUUUUCUUUAUUAGAAUGUGUUCCAAUCAAUGACAUUUAAAAUUAUUCGCCUGUUCAAAUAAGUGUAAUUACAUAUAGUCAACAAAUAUAUGUAGUUGAGACUAAUAUAUUUUUUAUUUUUAAGAGAAUGCCAAAAGAUGAUGCGGUCGUUUGAGCAAAUUUAAAAAAAGUGAUUUUUUAUUAUAAAAAAAAUAAGUGUAUUAGAAGUGAGAAGUAAAUUAUAAAUUUAUAAAGUGU
This 2239-nucleotide long non-coding RNA is filed under the name Daucus carota (carrot). RNAcentral's name for it is "long non-coding RNA (DCAR_LNC004445)". Lineage: Eukaryota; Viridiplantae; Streptophyta; Magnoliopsida; Apiales; Apiaceae. The record is from RNAcentral.